UUCUUCAAAAAUUUUUUUAAAAAAAAUUAAUUAAUUAGAAGGAAUUCGGCAAGUUUAGUUGCUUCGCCUGUUUAUCAAAAACAUGGCUCUUUGCUCACAUAAAUAUAAAGAGUCGAGCCUGCCCAGUGAAUUUUUAACGGCCGCGGUACUCUGACCGUGCAAAGGUAGCAUAAUCAUUUGCCUUAUAAUUGAAGGCUAGUAUGAAUGGUUUGACGAGAGCAACACUGUCUCCUUUUUAUUUUCAAGAACUUAACUUUUAGGUGAAGAGGCCUAAAUUUUAUUGAAGGACAAGAAGACCCUGUCGAGCUUAAAAGACAUUAUAGGAGUCUAGUAUAUUUUUAGAUAAAUUUUUCUAUCAAGCUUUUUAGUUGGGGCGACUAAGGAACAAAAAAAGCUUCUUUCCAAUAAUAAACAAUCAUGUUUAGAUCCGAUAAUAGCGAUUAAAGAAAUUAGUUACCGCAGGGAUAACAGCAUAAUCUCUCUUAAGAGACCUAAUCGAAAGAGGGGGUUGUGACCUCGAUGUUGGACUAGAAUAUCCUAAAGAUGCAGA
RNAcentral lists this ribosomal RNA (550 nucleotides) under Semisulcospira sp. DLN20150161. Its description in RNAcentral is "partial large subunit ribosomal RNA". It matches the Rfam family "Bacterial large subunit ribosomal RNA", at positions 1713 to 2559 of the family's 2925-position model. The record is from RNAcentral. RNAcentral also lists the same sequence under 2 other names. Lineage: Eukaryota; Metazoa; Mollusca; Gastropoda; Semisulcospiridae.